GAUGAAGAACGCAGCGAAAUGCGAUAAGUAAUGUGAAUUGCAGAAUUCAGUGAAUCAUCGAAUCUUUGAACGCACAUUGCGCCCGCCAGCAUUCUGGCGGGCAUGCCUGUUCGAGCGUCAUUUCAACCCUCGAGCCCCCCCCGGGGGCCUCGGUGUUGGGGGACGGCACACCAGCCGCCCCCGAAAUGCAGUGGCGACCCCGCCGCAGCCUCCCCUGCGUAGUAGCACACACUUCGCACCGGAGCGCGGAGGCGGUCACGCCGUAAAACGCCCAACUUUCUUAGAGUUGACCUCGGAUCAGGUAGGAAUACCCGCUGAACUUAAGCAUAUCAAUAGCGGAGGA
RNAcentral lists this unclassified non-coding RNA (343 nucleotides) under soil metagenome. RNAcentral's name for it is "partial contains 5.8S ribosomal RNA, internal transcribed spacer 2, and large subunit ribosomal RNA". The stretch from base 1 to 120 matches the Rfam family "5.8S ribosomal RNA", at positions 35 to 154 of the family's 154-position model. The record is from RNAcentral.